RNAcentral lists this small nuclear RNA (100 nucleotides) under Physeter macrocephalus (sperm whale). Lineage: Eukaryota; Metazoa; Chordata; Mammalia; Artiodactyla; Physeteridae. The record is from RNAcentral.
UUACUUCAAUAAAUACAAUAAAAGUGGAACAAUGCAGAGAUGAUUAGCAUGGCCCCUGCACAAGGAUGACAUGUGAAUUCCUGAAGCAUCUUUAUUUGUA